UUUAUCCCUUUGUGUCCGUGUCCUUCUGUUGGCUGCUUUGACGUCGUGAUGGGGAAAACACCAAACGUGGCUGUGGGAAGGGUGGGAAGUGAGAAGCAGAGAUUUCAGCGGCACGGGUGGGUUCCUCUGGGUGGGGGGUGGUUCUCAGCUGAUGCUGUAGCACUGCAAGGAGAUGAGGAUGGGAAGGAGUAGAGAGUCUGCUGCUGACAGAAGCCCAGCUGUGCUGGGGGCUGCUUGGAGGAAAACGUCUUAGGGGAAAGUAAGAAAGGUGGGAGGAAGUGGGAAAGGCUUUCCCCACUUCUGUCUUCACCAUGCAGAUAUCUGAGCUGAGGACUAGAGUGGAUUUGUCAACUCUGCAGUCAGGCAUAAAUGGAGCUUCAUAACUUUGCAAGUGCAAAGCAUUAGCAGUAAGUGAUUUUACAUUAAACACUAAAUAUUGCAGCUAUUAAAGAACAUUCAUCAUCUGCACAAGGUGCCUGAACAGAAAUGAGCUGUAGCAUCUCCUGCAACAUUGACUGUAAACACAUUAAAAGCCCUCACAGCGCUGUCAGUCACUUCCAUCUCAGGGGGAAGGCCUGGUGCUCGGGGGCUCCACCACCAUCCUCAGCACAGAGGGCAGCUCAGUGUCAUCUCCCCAGGGAGGUGCCCCCAGCCCCUUUGCUCUUUGCUCUGCCUUUGGUGCAGUAUCCCAGACUGGAGCCUCCUGUGCACUGCUGUCCCCGUGGAGCAUGGGUGGUGGAAGAGGCUGCAAGAUCCCACCUGCUGCUGUGAGCAGCAGUAAGUGACCACCCCUGGGUGGGUGGUACCAAAAAGGUGAGCCACAGGCAGUGCUGUGCAGUCACUCGUGAUGGAGGUUGUGGGGACAUUGCAGCUUUCUUCCCCAAAUCUCAGAGUGAAUAAAUAAAUCCAAGACAGUGUUUCCUCCUCCUGAGCCGUACCUCUGGUCUGUGCAUUGCCAUCAGCCACACCAAGAGAUGGAACAAGCCUCUGACCUAACGAAGAAGUUUUCAUUUCCUUCUGCUGUUCUGACACCAGGCCAGCCAAGAGCAGCCAUGAAUUGUGCUGAGGAGAUUGCUUGGUCCAAGAUUGUGCUUCAGAUAAGAGUUUGGAUGAUGAUGAUUAAUGCAGCUGCUUUGUUUGUCUGACAGGUGGACCGAUAAAUAGAUAUUGUUGCUAGGAGUACAUUCCUUCCUGCUAUGGUAAGCAGCACAGACAGCCCGAAAUGCUGAUGUUUCUUGGAGAUCUGUGGAACUGGAGGUCGGGGCAGGCUGUACCUUGCCUUUUGAUUGUAAUGGAUAAAGGACUUCAGUCCUUUAAGUGAGGAGUGGUGAUUUCAUCAUGACCUGACAUGUCCUUCGUUUCCAGUAAGGAAAACAAACGAAACCUCACACUUUUGAAAAUAUAGUCCAGGCAUGCUGCAUGCUCAUAAAAGGGCAGAGAGUCCACGGAUGGAAUAGAAAAAAAUAGCUUAAAAUGUCAUCAGAAGCUGUUACGAUCUUUGGAGCUGUGGAUUCCCACACUUUGGGGGCUUUAAACCUGCUGUGCACUGGAGGAUCCAUGCAGCAGACAAAGCAUCAGCCGUUGUGGGGAGAGUUGUCCUCUGUGCCUCAUUACAGAUGGAGACAUGAAGCGACCACGUGGCUGCUGAAGGACAGGUUUUGUUCCCCUGGCUGCUGCUUGGGAAACCCACUGUAAAGAGGAAGAAACAUCCUAAUUUUCUUCUGUACCUCCUACCGACCUGUCUUGCUUUUCCCCACCUACAGGCUCUGGUUAAGCUCUGGAAAGAGGCUUAGAUCAGUGGUGACUUCUUGUUCUUUAAUUCAUGUAAAUGUUCUUUUUAACUAUCUUGGAGUCUUAAACGACCCUCUGGGGAACCUUUUGUGUUUAUGAUUAUUGAAGCAAAAGUUUAUUCCCCUUAAGCACAAAACAAUUGGGGAAUUGAGUGAAAGAACCAAUUUGUUUUCUCGCAUAUGCUGCAAAUGCAAAGGUCAGGUAUGACUGACAUAGCAGUGGGCAAUGCAACACUUGGGAGAAUUCCCCAGAAAAGCAGUGAAAAUGUUUGGUUUCUGAGCUGAGCAGCAGCACAAGGAUUUGUCUGGCUGUAUCCAGGGCCAUGAAGAGCUCACGAGGUGUGGGAUGGGCUUUGCAGGAGUCUGGCUGCUUUGGUGCACGCAGAGCUGCGGGCAGGCACCCAGAGCAGCACGAAGCCUUGGCAGCAGGGAGCGCUUCCCUUGAGGUACUGAUGCUGGAAGGGCACGUGAAUACACCACAAAAGGGUCGUUCACCCUGGGAAAGGAGUCUGAAGCCUUUAGAUGCAAGGGUUUAGUAGCUACAAAGCCAACCUUCUUCCCCCUGCACAGCUUCUCCAGUUGUGUGGCUCUCAUCUCCUGCAGCAACCUGUUGUCGUUCCAUGAGAACAGCAUCCACUUGUUUUCAAACCUCGUGCCUGCUAACUCCAAUUAAUACCCCAUCGUUCUCUUAUUACAAACGACCCUUUGUCUUUACUGUCCGUGCCUGUUGUGUGUCCAUGGCUGACCUGUUUCCAGUUGCCUCCUCUCCAACCUUCUGCCAGGAAAAGCUGCGUGGAGCCCAUGUCCAGAGCUCCCUAAAGCAGCCACUGGUGGGGCUGGCCUCGUGGCUUUGCACUGAGUGAGCUGGGCUCAGCAUCCCUCGCUGUGCCCACGGAGCAUCUGUGUGCUAGAUCACCCUGACACCAACUCGCUUGUUCUUUGUGUACCAAGUUAUGAUCCAGCCACUCCAACAGACAUGUAGAAAAGAAAACUAACAUGGCCUCUAAAAUCAAUGAGCCAGUAAAUAGAGAGCUAUAAAUAAUCAGGAGAGGAUUUAAUUAGCAGAAAACUCCCUUGCAGCACGCUGGUGCCUAUGGCAGUCUCUGGUCUGGAGCUGCCUCCCCUGCUCUGACUUUCUCCAGCUGGUGUAGGCUCCCAUGGUGCAGGGAACCCCAGAGAGGUAAAACUGGAACCUAUGUCCAUGCUAUGAAGCAUCUUCAGCCUGAAAUGACCAAACCUCGUGCAUUCUGGCAGGAUUCUGGGGGCUGCAUGGGAGGCAGAGCCGCCAGCUGAAGGGAGGUGCUCUUGGGGAGGAGCCCAUCCACGCAGCCCUCCCUCCCUCCCUCCCAGUUACUCUGUGCCUGUUUGCUUUUUCAGCCGUAAUUCAGUUUUCCCCUCAUUUGGUUCACGUUUGUGAUUUCACUUAAGGUUUUCAGGUGGAAGUGUGCUACUGAGCAGCAUCAGCCCAGAACUUCUGAGAUUUCUGGGAACCGCUUCACCGAUGCGAGGUGUGCUGCAUCAUGUGCAGACUAAUUUCAUUAUUGAAAGAAUGAUUCCAUUAGGUCAAAGCAGACUGUAAAGAUCCCUCUCCUGUGUUUUACUGCCUUUACUGAGCAUCCAGCCAUAUGCCUCCUUAGUAGCCACGUGCUGUUUGGUUUUAUUAAUGCUUGCAUCUGCUGGUGAUUUGAGCAAGGGCCAAGGGUUCAAAACUGGAACUCAAGGACCCUCUAUUACUGAAGGAUUUUAUUAGCCAUCAAUCUGCUACAUAGUGCCAGUGUUGCCAGUGGGGAAUAAUACAAUCAAACCUCUCUCCCCACUGGUGACAGCCCCACUCUGCUGCAAGGAUCCGCAUGACUUCAUCUGCCUCGUUAACCAUCCCGGAGUAAGUGCCUUUCAGGAGGAGAAAAUACUUGAGCGAAAUACAAAGAAACAUCUGUGAAUGUAGGAAUACACCCAGGACUUGCUUUUCCCAGUUCCACCUCUGUCCUGAGCUCUCUGGAUGGAUUUUGCUCCAUGUUAGACUUGCAUGUGUUACUCCAUUGCUAAAAGGACAUGAAUCCCUUCUACAAAAGGAUUGAACCAAAGCGUCUUAUGUUUCUGGCACUGAGAUCACAGAAUCACAGAGGUUGGAAAAAAAGAAUCACCAAGCCCAACCAUCGGCCCAUGCCCACUCACCAUGUCCCCAGGUGCCAUGCUAACCAGGUGAUCGCACCUGGAGGCCGAUAAUUCCCUUUUUUAAGACUGACAUUGCUCCAUAGCUUGGGCGCUUCCUCCUCUUCCCUGUAAAUGUCACAGAACACAUCAUAGCACAGCCACCCUCGUGUCCCUGCAGCCACCAUGGAUGGGGAUGACCCCUCCUUUCCCACCCCGUCCCUUCCCUUUGCAGGCUCUGUAAUCAUAACCGAGUGGUAAUACAGAACUGUGUGGCUGUUCAGGUCCGCUGAAAUCAGUCUAAUUGCCUUUGGGAUGAGGGGAACGCAGCUCUUUGAGUAACAGAAGGAGGGAUGAUGAGAGGACCAAGCACUGCUUUCAGUUCCUCUAAACGCAGAACGUGGAAAUGCGAACAGGGCUGCUGUAGAUGUCCACCAGCACAGCAUUUCAAAAGCUGGCUGUGAGGAAUAAAAGGAAUGUGGUUCUGAGAGAGAAAGCUACAGGAGAAAAGCAGCACUACCAAACAGAAAACAAAAAAAAACAAUAAGAUGUCAGUACUUGGUGCUGGUGGCUGUGGGGCCGGGCUGUAGGUGCUCAGAGCAGAGGCUGAGCAGCCCCCCAGGUGUGUGAGCUGCCCCUCGCCCUCUGCGUGGGGCUGUGGCUGUCCCACAGCCAUCAUGGGAUUGCUCUGCAGUGAGCUGGAAUGUUGGCCCCCAGCCUUCCCAGUCCUGGAAUUCAGGUUUUUAUUUCCUCUGUAAACUGCGUGGCACAAAAGCAAGGGAUGAAAGCACGCGCUGCUUCAUAGCCCGGGAGCACCGGGGUGAGCUCCUGCCAGCAGUGCAGCUGGUCACUGCGGUGCAGCAUAUGGAAGCAGUAAGUUCCUGUCCUUUCUUCUUCUACCUGUCGUGCUGGGAUUGCGCUCAAGAGAAAAAUAUUUCAUUGUCCGGUAGCUAAAGCUGCCCUUAAUGCUGAGCUUCCCCUGUCCGCUGACUGCCCCCAGAUUAUGUGAGAUGGGAAACAGCGCGGUGACUCCAUGGCAGGUGACAGGCAGGAAGCAUGCGGGGACCUCCCAAAAAAUUUGCUGCCGGGACAGAAGUCCUGGCACUCUGCCUGUUUGUGAGCACACGAAAUUAGAUGUGAAAGUUCGUCGUGUGGCCGACCACCGUGCUCUUACAGAACCAAAGAGCUGCGCUGCGGGCACGGAGCUGGGGCUCUGCUCAUGGAGGAUUGGGGACAACGUGCCCCCACCCUGCUCCUUCCUUCCCGCAGCUCUGCCAGCAUCUCGCUGGCGGAUCAGCUCCUCUUCUAACUGGGGAAGACGAAACAGCGACAAAAGAAACCUACUUCGGGGUUCUGUUUUCUCGGUGCAUCGUUUGUAGCUCUCCUAUAUUAAAUUUUAUUGGGGCCAUUUCAUGCAUAAACUUCAUUUUUCUUUUGUGCUGGAGAAAACCCGAGCGAAGAUUUAAUGCAGCUCCAUUUACAAAUCUCAUUGUGACGGCAGCCUGUCAUCGGUGCUGUGCAGGGACAAUGCAGGGGAGCGAGGGGAGUGCAGAAUCCGUCCAUCAGCAGGGGGAAAGGCUGGGGCUUUCAUUGCACCUGGCUGGGCACACGGACUCGGGGAUUUGGAGGCAGGUGCUUGCAUUUGCUCUGAGCGUUGGCUCCACACUGGUGGAGGUGGGGGUGCAAAAUUCAAAGCCAGACUGCCCACAGUUGGGUGUUGUAUAGCAGGGGCUGGGGGUGAAGUCCUGGGGCUUCUGGAGGUAAGGGGAGAAGCUGCUGGGGCUGGAUGGGAUGAGGAUAUUGGCAGCUGGGUGCAGAGGUUGGGGAGGUUAAGCUGUGCCUUACGCUUCAGUUAUUCCAUAAGCUUUCAGCCACCCACAGACUCAUGCUUUAAGUACUGAGAAGGUCUGAGUGAUAUGACUCCAUUGUAUUUCAGAGUCACUUACUGCUGGGUUUCUCACGCCGGUGCUGUGGUUGGAAAAUAAAUGGUUUCUUCCUUCUGCAGAAAGUUGCAAGCACUUUCAGAAGUCUUAAAAGGAAGAAUAAUUUUUAGGCUCUCAAUAACUUGUUUCCAAACCCUUCUUCCCCACCUGAAAAGAUAACUAAAAAUAAAAUAUCGACGGUUUUGUUGGGAUUAUCUUAAAGGGCUUCAGAAACCGAUGGCCUGGGCUUGAAGUGAGAUUGUUGCUGCUGUUGUCAGUGGGCAGCAAUUCAGUGCACUUCCCAGCGAGUCCUAAAAGCUCACACCUCUGUUCCUUAGCUCCCCGCUACGGCUGCGUGCCAUACUUGGUGGUGAAGCAAUUCGACUUCGUAGGGCAACCAUCGGUUCAGGCUAAGGGAGGAGAGGAGGAAUGCCCAACUUUCUGCUCCAGAGCCCCUUGAAGGUUGGCCUGCUUCUGUACCAGAGCAGGGGAGCUGGAGCACUGAGCUGGAGAGGUGGGAGCAGAUGAGCAGGAAGGCACGAAAUGGGCAGAUUUCUUAGUGGCGUUCGUGCUAUCCGAAGUGCAUUCAUCUCACUGCUUCUGCCAUCAGCAAUUCCCCAGGCGCCCUGGAGCAGUCUCUGAUUCUUAGGGAAAUUUCACGUUUUAAGAACUGCUUAUGCAAAAAAAGAAAAAAAAAAAAAAAAAAAGAAACACACCUUCCUGCAAAACAAAGUAAAAAUGACAACGAAUCCAGCGAGGUGUGCUUUUAGAAGUGCUUCGGUUUUAACUCUUAACAGAAAUGAUGUUAAGAUUCUUUGUAAGUGGAAAGCAAUAGAUUAAAAGAUGAUAAAAACACUGUUCUGGCAGUUGCACACCUUAGGGUUUUUCUCCUCAAAACCCACAGAUUUUCGUAAUUUUCUUGGGGAAAAAAGCUCUAACUAAAAAAAUCAUCUGUUUCUUUGGGAAAACGCUCCUAUUUCCAAGGCAGGGAUGAAAGCAGUGGCCCAUCCUUGAGUUUGGGAACCUCUCAAUCCCCAUUUGCCUUCACUUUCACAGUGAGCCGUCCCCUCAUUGCAAUUCAUGUCUGGAAUCUUGCAGAAAUCCAAGUCCUUGCUCAUUAAGGUUAUGUUCCACAUCUCCAGCAGUGAUGUCCCACAGCCCACCACAUGCAGGGAGCUUUGCCUUGGCUCGGGUCCGCAUUUUCUUUCCUAAUGCUUUUUGCAUCCAGAGCUUUUCAGGCAGAUCGCCCCAAUUUGGCUUCUUGGGAAGGUAUCAGUUCCACAUUUCUGCUUCUUUGCUCCCCAUGCUCAGGGGCACGUGGGCACACAAUGUCCUGCUGUGCUGUUGGUUUUAGCACUUUGCUGGAUCUGCUGAAGAUCUCCUGUCUGCAGGAAGCCCAAAACAAGGCUGAGCCUUCAUGGCACCCCCAGAGCAUCCCCACAGGACCCAGCUCUGGUGCACACACCUCCGUGAAGCGGGCCAGCAUCUCCAGGCCCUCUCCUUUCCACCAAAGUGCCCCGAGAUCUCUGGAUGAAAAAUGCUUUAUGAAAUUGUUGUUCUCUGGAGAGCAAUAGAAUUGAAUGAGAGCCUUGCUGUGGAAUUUGUAAAGCCAACUACAGCUUCUGAUGGCAAACUAAACCUUUGCUGCAGGACUCCACAGGCUGGAAUGUUUCCAUUCCCAAAAUGCCUGGAAUAAUCCAAUUCACUAAAAGCAUUGGGACACUAAGUGAACGGAACAAAACCCCUACAAAUAUAAAGAUAAUCGAGACUGUGCUCCUUUCAUCCAUUUCCCAGCAACGUGGGGCUGAUAUCCUCUCUGGUUCUGCUACCCAGAUGGGUCCACGGUUGCAGGAACCCGCUCUGGCCCUAAGGUGGUUUCAGAUUCAUUCAUUGCUCUUCCAUAGUGUGCAGAGCAUCGUAGCCCCGUGGCCGCCGGCCCCGUGCUGGCAGCUGGCUUGGGGCGUUGGGCUCGGCUCCAAGAAUAAGCAGUUUCCAAGGCAUUAAUCUUUAUAGUGAUUAUCUACAGCAAGGGCUUCGUAUGGCUUUUGGAAGUCGGUCUGGGGUGUGGGUUUUUUUAUGUCUUUUGGUGAAUUUGAGUUGAUUUAAAACUCGUGGCUCCUUUUCAGAGAGACCGUCCUGUCCUGUGCGUGGUGGGGUGAGUGGGGAGGUGGCAGUGACUUGGCCAGAAGAUGCUGAGAGGCUGCUGGGAUUGGGUCUGCCAGCAAGCUGGGGUUGAACCUUGAGGACACAGGAUGAAUCCCAUCUUUUUGGAGGCAUAGAGCAGGAGCUGCCCGCAGCCUGCAGUCCUCUAGGAGGGAGAUGUUGACCCGUGGUCCUCUUGGUGUGGGUCUAGCCAAAACACAUGGGGUGCUCCCUGUGUCCUCACCACCCCACCACCAGGUCCCGCACAUCAGGGCAGAGGCUGGGAGCAAAGAGUGGGUUUUCAGCCCCUGCAGUGGGGAGCCAGGCCCUGCAGCACAGCAGAGAGAGGGGAUUGGAGGAGAAGUGGGAGGGGGAUCAUCAUUUAAGUGCAAACAUUAAAGCUGCAUUUAACACCAUUUUUAAUAUGUGCUUAGCUGCGACGUGAUAUUAGGCAGUGAGGUAAGUGACAAUUUAUGCAGCAUUUUGAGAUUAGCUGUAGCACAGAGAGUAAAGCAACUUUUUUUUGUCAUGGUGACUAUAAUGGCAGCUAAAAUCGCUCGAGUCCAAGCCCAAAAAAGUGUAUGUUUGGGGGAGGGGAAGGAGGAUAUUGCAGAGUUUUCUGCCUUCGUGUUAAAAUGAAGGGAAUUUUGAAGCUCUGAAAUACAGAAAUCACUUCAUUUUGGGAAAUCUGAGAGUGCAAGGAGAGCCAAAGCUGCAUUUCCCGAUCAGCAGAUGCUCUCUGGGAAUAAAAGCCCUGGGUUUCACGCACACCCAGAGCUCCUGGGGUGAUUCUGAGUACAUCUUAGUGACUUUUUUUUUCAAGAUUCAGAUCCAUUCCCAGCACGAGGCCCGCUGUGUGCUCUCUGGUCGUGGAGCCAGCAAAGAGAAAGCAAGCCCCAGUCUUGAGCAGAAGAUAAGGAGCAGAAUGCCCUUGCAUCUUCCAUCCAUGCACCUGAGGUUAACAGUCGAGGAACCCAAGGCCAGGCCUAACAGUAACUCUCUGGGACUUCUGAAGAAAGGAAAGAAGUUCUGCCUGUGUUUGUACCAGAUGUGAGUCAGCGUUGAAGCAGAUUGUCAGGACAACACAGACCUGCAUUCAGGCCAUGGGAUCAGAGCACACAGGGUUGGUGCCCAUGGCACUGCUGGACUCAGAGCUCAAGAACCACCAUGUCCUCUCUCCUUUUCGUCCUCCACACGCUCCUUUUUGGGUUAACAAGAGUCAGGAAAUGUAAAAGACCUGCUUGGGCUGCACCAUGAAUCAAGAGGCUCGGAGGUCUGUGAGCAUCCCAGGAUUUGCUACGUGCCAGUGAGACGCUGAGGAUUAGAAAGUGGCUUUUCCACUCACAGCAGUCCAGGGAAGCUUUGCCGUUAUCACCCUGAACCAGAUGGAUUUUGAAGAGUCAAUGGAGAGCAAUUGAGGUGCUGCCGCAUCCUUGCCAGAAGUUAACGGGCCCUGACGCUGCUCAACUCAGUGCUGAGAGGCAUCAGGAGCUUCAGCUGUGCAUCCAGAGAUACCAGGACAGGCAAGGAAAUUAAGCCCUAGACUCCUUUUGGAGCCCCAAGCCCGUCACUUGAUGUUCUAAUUGAGAUGCCAAAGCCAAGCUAAGAUGCUGAACCUCUUUGGCUUGUGUUCAUUUCUGCUCAAUCCACAUAAAACAGCAGUUUCCAUUCUCCAGAAGGAAAUGGGAAGAUGUUCUGCUCGGGAUCCCAUCAGAGCGUGGCCCAGAGGAGCUGGUGCUGCUGCCAACCCUCAGCGGUGCCACAGCAGCCAGGUGAGAAUACACUCCUGAGCAGGGAAGGGGCUGCUGGAGUGGUUUUGCUUUCUACAUUGUCUCUCUCAGAGUAAAAAUUCAAGACUUCCAAUCUAUCUGUGCCAUGGCAUAUUUUCUUGUUUCUUGCUUUCUGCCCCAUAAGGAGGUUUCCAGGUUCAGGAAGUAGUAACAAAUUAGAUUUGUAUUUUGGGGGGGAUUUGCUGAAUUAUUUCUUUGGCUUUCAGUCUUCCCGUUUCCACUCAGCUGAGACAUUGCACUGCAGACACUUCUUCCUUCUCACUGGGAAAGGUUUUUAGGUUUUUGGAUGGGAGGUGCCUGUACCCCACUCUCAGCUCAUCAAUGCAUCGGGGAAAGCCAGGGCAGAAGCUGUUGUAUUUGCUGCAUGAGAUCUCAUUGAGGCCGGGGAGCAGAAGAGCUGCCCUAACAUCACACAGUUGUAAGCCAUUACUGGCAGCUGAAUCACAGAAGUCAUUUACCCUUCAGAGACCUCACCCACCCAGAACCUUGCAGCAGAUCCUUCUGCUCCAUCCCACUGCCUGGAUACAUCCCGUGUAGGAAACCGUCCUCCCAGAACUGAACUGUCUGUCGUUCAGUCCCCAAAAUCACAGCUUCUUUGGCAAGAUGUCUGCUGAACUGCUGAGCUUCAUCCUGGAAACUUCAUGCCCAUAUUCACCAGCCCAAACCAAGCAACAGAAAGGGAGUACAGAUGGACGGACUCUUACUUGCAUAUGUCCCUGGCCUGUCCCAUGAGAAGUUCUUGUCUCAAGUUGGGAAGUGCAGAUGGGAUGAAGUCCCAUUUACAUUGGCCUGCCAGGGAAAAACAGAGAAAGAAAAAUAAGACAGUUGACUUUGCUGUUCUAAUUCUCAAAUUCAUGAGUUCCAGAGUAUUCUGAAUAUAUUAAACUAAAAUAAGCACUUCCCACUUUUUUUCUUUUUUCCUCCAAUGUUUUGCAGCACUUUGAGGCUGCAAACUUUUAUUUGGCAGAGCUGGGAGAAGUGGUGCUGCUGCUCAGUUCCACUCCCUUCACGUGGCACUGAUCCCCCAAGCCCUGCCUGUAGCAGCAGCAAUGACAACCAGGACAUUGUCCCCUUGGGACACGCACUGAGCCAGACCCGGCUGCUUGCCUUAGCCCUUGAAAGGAAGGGGUGAAGGAAAAUGGGAAAAGGAGAAGGUGGGAAGGAGAACGAGGGAGAAAAAAAUGAAUUGCUUAAAACUUCUAUUACUCUUCAUUACCUUCUGCUUUAUGUAAGUUCCAAGGUUCAUUUACCAGCUGUAAGUGGCCUGGUGCCUUUGUGUGUAGGAGUUGUCAUGCCCAUUGCUCCCAUUAAUGUACUGCGUGAAGCUAAAGGUAGCUCGGCUGGAGCUGCAAAGCCAAAUCAAUGUAACUAAUGUACCUCGUGCUGCAAAUCCCUAAUUGUCCGCCGUUGGACUGGAUGGAUGGGCUUGGAAUAUCUGAAUCUUUGCUAUGAGGGACGGGGGGGAGAUGGCUGCUGCUGGGAGCUGCUCUGGGGCCUCUGGGGGGGGCAUGGGGUGUUCCUGAGACCAGGAGAGGGGAUGGGAGUGUGUCCUUAGGGCUGACCCACUGUGAGUUCCUCUGCAUCCAGGAGAUGGAAGCGAUGCUCUCCUGAGUUUUUCUCACAACUCCCCUUGGGGAGACUUGUUUUUUGAAGAUAAUCUUCAGGAUUCCUUUCAAAUCUGCUGGUUUGCUACAGCCAGGACAGCCAACUCCCAGUUCCGGGUAAAAACAGCAGUACAGCAAGAAAAACAUUGUCUGAACACAGAGGAGUAUUCGUCUGUUACCUGAGGGAAUAUCAGUGAUUACAGAUUUUUCCUAGCACAUAUUUGUAGGCUUGCUCAUGCGCUGAGUUCCAUUCCAGCAAGAGGUAACCUAUGGGGCUCUUUCUUUGGGAUUCUCACAAAUAAUAAUAAUAAUAAUAAUAAUAGUGUGGCUUAUUAUUCUGAUGUGAAAUGAAGGUGAGAGCUGUUGGAAGCCCGGACUGCACUUCUCUGGGUUUGUCAUUCUGCCAGGGGUUGGACUCUUAUGGAAAAUCCAACACUACAGCAGCAGAUGGGGUCUAAUUCACAGUACCUCCAUUGAAGCUGGACAUCUAUAGCUAUGCUACAUGUCAUAAAAAUAAGGUAUUUCCGAAUCUACCUGUUGGUCUCUAAUGGACCUGGAUAAGCCCUGUGCACGAGGUGUUGCUUGUUACGGAGGACACAACAAAGCCUGGCUCCUGCCCUGAAGGCCUUGAAACCUGAAUGCAUCAGAAGAUCAGAGAGGGAAGGAGAUACAAGGACAGAGGUUUAUCCUGGGUCACCCAACACAUCAAUGGCAAGGGAUUUCCCAACCCCUCCACCAAAGUCCUCACAGCACAAAAAUGUUUUGUUGUAAUGCAAAAUAAAAAUAAAAAAAAUCCUCUUUUCUAUAUUUAGCUGCAGAAUUACUCCUGAAACGUGUCAGUUCUCACAGGGAACAAAAUAAUGUUAUUAGACCGAAGGCCAGGAGAGGCAGAGAUGAUUUGGCAUUUCAUUCAAAAUUGCACCCAGGACUGUUAACAAUGGGGAACCUAUCUGGAUGCAGUGCGAGCACAAACUCUUCAGAUUUACACAUUUCAGUCAGAGCAGCCUGCAACCCUUCUGCAAACUCGGAGGAGAAUUUCAUACUUUUCCCCCCUCUCUUUAAACUGAGACAGAUCUCCACGAAAAUUCAUUACGCGGUUUAAGUGAUGGGAUUUAUCAUUCCAUUCAGCUUCUCCAGCUCGGAGCUCUCCUCGCUGUCACACCAGCGAGGCAAUUCUAAUUUGUUUCUUUCAUAUUUCCCUCAUGAAGUUCGUCUCUGAGUGAUGGGAAGAAAAUAGAGACGAGAGCCAGGAAUGGCUUGGGGCAAUGCGCUGCGCCAGCGGCCGAUUUUCUGCCUCCUGCUUCGCUGUCCUGGCUGUGGAGUAUUCAUGGAAGGGGAGACACAGGAGGAGGAAGAUUGGAGGAGAGAGACGGGCGCUGCCAGCAGCUGACUCAAGACUAAAAUACAAAAAUCCCCCCCAAAAAGGCACAAAAAAGCCACCGGAGCUUGAAUGGGCCCAGGGCACCUGCAUGGCCAGGCCAUUGGGUUCUAACAGCAACAUGAAACUGUUGGCUGAGCAUCUUAGUAUUCAUUUAGACAGGUCCCUAAAUCUGGCACCCAUUUUAAAUGCAUACAUCAUUUAUUAGAGCUGACCUUCAUCUAGUGUUAAUAAUAAAUUGAUGAUGCUUCCUGUUAAGCCUCAUAUAAACACAUCUUUAGCUAAUAAACACUCCAGCCGUAUACCCAGAGAGUUUGUUUCUGUCUGCCUAGAGUUAUUACCCCAUAAACAAGAAGCAGCUCCACAUGAUCAUCUAAUUGAUGUAUUUUCCUUGAUUCCCAAUAAGCUAUAAAAAGGUAUGUUUGUUGUGGGGAAACUACAGCUUUUAUCACCUUCUGCCUCGUUCUAAGGGAGGAUGAAGGGAAGAAAUCCACUUUAUGUUUACUAAAAUAUUUAGAACAAGCAGUGAAAGAUGGAAAACGUUUUAGAAUAUCUAUAAGUUGUAUUAAUACGAUAGUCUGUCCCUGGGAAUCAAAUGCAGCUGUUGGUAGAUAGGUAUUAAAAAGGGAAGAGAGAGAUCUCACCUUAAACAGACACGUAUCUUAUUUGAUUGCAACACCAUCCCCAUGCAAUUUCAAUGUUCUUUCUCCGCUAACACCAAAUUAAUUCAUUUUGAUUAUUGUUAUUAUGGCAAAUGGCAAAAGGAAUUAAAAGUGAUGAAUCAGGCGCUUCCUGCGAAGAGCGAGCUGGGUUUCCCACCUCCUACUGAGACACAACGAUACCUGCACACGGCUGCAAGUCCAUAAAAAUGAUGGAGGAAAGUGGGAAGGAAAUCAUUUGGCAGAUGAGAAAGAUUCCUUGCAAGGUAGGACUCUGCCAGACGUCGUACAAGACCCAAGAUUGUCGCUGUGAUCUACAAACAAUUAGAAGUGUUCUUCCCUCGUUGAAUCACAUUUUUGGCUCAAGAAGGGGUGGUGUGGCUGUAGUGAGCCACAAAGACCUAUCUGUAAGCCCAAUACAUUUUGGAGGGCUAACACUCAGUCCUGCCUGGACAGAGAGGCAGGAGGACCAGGUCAGUGGGUGAGAGUCACCAAGCUGUAAAAACCAACAAAAACUGUUAGGAGCCAAAGCCAUCCUGGAGCACAUAAUGAUUAUUUGUUUGUUUGCAGGCACCAAGAGACAGCGUGGCACUAUGAGCAUAUCCCAGCCCUCAGCCAUGCUGAGCAUGCAUGGAAAUAGCAGUGCUGCAUCUCCUGCUAACCCAGCGGGACAACAAGGGCUGCUUCACGGGGAGGUGACACAGAGGUGGCUGCAGAUGAGGCAGCUCGAGGAGAGAAGCCACCUGCCGAGGCCACCAGCUGUUCCUGUCCCAGAUCUGAGCCAAACUGUGGGUCCCAGUGUUCUCCGCAGCUGGAAAGUCAAAGAGACACAAGCCAUCUUCCAGAGUCCUUGGAGGACGUCAGCAUGAACUUCUAGGAGACAACUACAUGGAGUUAUUGCCCCUGCUGUAGGGUUUCUAUUGCCCUACAAGCCUAGACUGUUGAACUAAAUGAUCUUAGAGGUUUUUUCCGAUGUUAAUGAUCCUAUGAUAGACAAGAGCAAAGCAGCAUGACCAGUGACCAUUGGAGUGGACUUAAACAGCUGCUCACUUCUGCCAAUCUGCUCCUGCUCUCAUUCCUCACCUCUCCUGCCCAGGCCCGCUCUGGGAUCGAGAAAGGAAAGCCAAUGGGAGAUGCUUCAUUCUCUGCAGACACACAGUCCAAGUGCAGUACAGCAUUGCUGUAAAUUCCAGGCUAGGAGCAUCCAUAGCUGGCCAUCCUCUGGACCCAUCGCACUUGCUCAAGUCCAUUCCACCAUCACAGGUCCACUCCCACAUCUGUAAUUUCAGAGCUGAACCUUGUGGGUCAUAAACACCCCAGAGAUAAAUUGGCAACAAAACUCUUCUCAGAAACUCAAAAUAAGCUCACUGACAUGGGAAUCAUAACCAGAAAUCCCUGCUUCCCUCCCUCUUACAUCACUGCCAAUUUAGGAUUCAUUUAGGAGGAAAGAAACACCAUGGGUACCCCAGAAUGGUGCUCCCCUGGCUAUUACAGUUUCAGAUCUGUCAGGAUGUACAUCUGUGUGCAUCCGUCAUCCCCAUUAAUGCUGCCCCAAACCUUUGCUGAGCAAACACAGCUCACGUCACGCAACACCGCAUCCUCCCCAGCAACACCAGCUAUCGCUGCCUCGCUGCAGGCAGGGCUUGAUCAAACCUAGGAAAGUUCUUUGAGCAGGGACUUGCCUUGCUGAAUCACAGAAUUACAGAAUCAUCUGGGCUGGAACCAUCAGCUUGACUUACCAAGUCCCAUCUCUAAUCCAUGCCCCUCGGUGCCACAUCCAUGAAUGUCUUCAGUACCUCCAGGUGUGUAGACUCACCAUUUCCCUAGACAACCUGUUCCAAUGCCCAAAUGGGGCCACCAUCAGAGACAUUUCAAAUGCCACCUGCAGCAUAAGAAACACUGAGGACCAGAUGCUGGCCAUCACCUUUACAAGAGGACAGCAAGGAAGGCUGCACAAGAAGCACUUCUAAAGGUUUCAUAGUCACUGCCAUAAAGCAUUUAAUGCACGAUAAAAAUGGCAAGACCUGGUGAGGAGAUGGAAACUAGAGCCUUGCCUUACAGAUGUUCAUAAAAUAUUAAGUGACUUUAAACAGAGGAGGGAGAGGCCGCAGUUCAAUAGACCACUGCUACUCACAGGUCCAGCGAAAGCAGGAUUUCUUUAAGACCCAUUAACUCCCACACCAGCACUAAUGGUUCUGUGGCUGCUCGUUCCCCUUGCUCCACACCCUGCGAACAUCUUUAUUUAGAAGCUGAGAUUGGAGCCCAGCUCUGCGCAGAACACACGCCUGGAUGUAAUUAGGCAGCAGCCAAGCGCAGCUCCUCAGCCAGGGGAGAGUGGAAAGCCAGGUCAGGUUGUUCACUGCCCACGGCCACCUCCAACCGGCCUGAAAAUAAAUGGAUGUGGGGAAUCUGUCGGGCUUUUCAGUCCUCCUCAAAGGGGACAGAGGCAAAGGUUCUUCGGAUGAAAUGAGUUGGCUGCCCUCGGUGAGGAGCUGGGGGCUUUCACAUCCACCCUGCCAGGGAUGGAUUCAGCAUAACUCAAUGGACUUGGGGAGUUCCUGCCUUCAAAAACAUAGUAGAGCGGGCGAUUGCAGGCUGAUGUGGAGAAGGGCUCUUAGAGGAGCCACUGGCAGCCUAGAGCAUGAGUCCUGCCUUGCUGCAGUGCCAAGUGCACGGUCUGCUAAGAUUUGAUGAUGGCCAUGCUCGUCCUCAUUGAGCCAGCAUGAUGGGGAGACAGGAGGUGAUAAAAAGUCCCAUAAAAAUGUUUUGACAUUUACUUGUCCCAAGUAAGAACAGAAAACUCAAAGUGCAUGGGGGGAAAUAGAACUAGAAUCCCAUACAAUUAGCACUCAGAAAUAUCAAAACAGCUCAUUUUGGCCUAGAAAGACAUCAACCAAUGCCCACACUGCCCUCUAGCCCAGGAAAGCUGUGAGAUGGACACCAAGGCUGGGCUGGCACCCCUGAGCCACGGAGGGCAAAUCACAGCAUCAUUAAAGUUGGAAAAGAGCCCUGAGAUCAUCAAAGUCCAACCAUCAACCCACCCCCACCAUGCCCACCAAACCAUGUUCCUCACUACGGAAUCAUUAAGGUUGGAGUAGACCAUUAGGAUCAUCGAGUCCAAUCACCAACCCAUCACAGGACACUGGGGUCCCGCAGCCAAAAAGGAGGUCACGAGCAUCUGAGUGGAUGUGAAUAGCUGGGUGUCAUUUGGCUGCAGCACAAAUACUGAGGAGAAUAAAGUCUAUUCUUCGGACUGAAAAGAUUCAUUCAUGUGUUGAUACAUUUUAUAUACGUGUGCGCGUGUCUUAGUGAAAAGGAAUUAAGCGUCAAAAAAAAAAAGAGUCCUUCAGAAUUAAGGCUUAUUUCAUUUAGGAAACGUUGAAAGGCAGAACGCCAGGUGUUGUGCAGAGGUUUCUUUGUUCACUGUCACAAUUCAGCAUGAAUUUGCAAAAUACUUUGACUAAAUCCAUUCUGAUUUCUCUGACAGAAGUGUUCCAGGUGACAAUUUUUACCCAGAAAUCUCUGCUGAAAAAAAAAAAAAAACAACAAUUUAACAUCAGCCCAAAGAGAAGCAUUUCAUUCAUGUCUUUCUGAAGAAAAGAAAUGAACACUCGGCAACAAAAUUGGUACUAAUAGGGUGAGGGGAGAUAUUUACCAGAAAUCUCCAUUUCUAUACAGACCCAAGAGAGCAAGGCACGGAGCUUGGAUCCAUGAACCUCUGGGAGCCAUUGGAUGGGGAACUCAACUUCAGUGCUCAGAAUGUGUGCUGGGAGGGACUGAGGAGCAGCUGUGGAGCUCUGUGUCUUACCAUCAUUAUGACUGGUAUCAUUAUUAUCAUUACUGUGAAUGCGUGAACCAGAAAGCCAAGCGUGCCUCCUGCAGCAGUGCACUGCGAAGUAACAAAGCCAUGAGUGGUCCUUCCAGAAAGGGUUUCCUGCUUUCUUGGCUAUUGGCCCAUCCCAAGAUUCGGGUUCAGCCAAAUCCUAAACUCUAAGGCAUUCCCCUUCUGUUUGACGGGGAACUGCCAACACGUCUCAUCAGUACUUAUCUGAAUCGAGGGGGAGACGUUCCAUUUUAUGACGAGAGGCAGACAGCCAAGUCCCAUUGAUCUUCAAUGAAAAUCCCUCAGUGAAAAAUCCCUCAUCCCCUGUCAAAACACGAAGAGAGGGGCUUUGCCUACACAGCUGGUUUUGUUCGAAGGCACGCAUCAUCAUUGGGUCUGAAUUCCUAUUGCUGUCCUAUUAUUAUCUCUGAUUAAGCAGGGUGAAGUGGAAAUUAGGCGAGUACUGCGUACUCACAGCUAUCUGCUUUAAUGAGCCCUGCUUAACCCAUUUAUUUUCUUCAAGAUAAAGCUUCCUGGGGGGGUAUUCACCGCCAGCCCCCACCACUGGACUGUCAUCUCCCCCUCCUGAAUAUUAGGCUCAGGCUCAUCCCCAGUGGGUCAGGGUAAUGACUUACUUUCAGUAUUUAAAGCCAGCCCAAUAAAACUCUAAAUGACUUUCUAAGGGUGCAGUAAACUCCUCACAACAUAAUCAAUGCACAUUAACAAAACAGUGGGAAACCAAGAAGUUCUUGGGGGAGGGAGGAUAAAACCCAUGCCAUGAAUCUUUCUCAUGUUGUUUUAUAGGGCAGGAACCUCCAGCUCCCUUAUUACAUUUGAUAUAUAGAGAUGGGAAAUAUUUUCCAGAGCCAUUUAUAUCUUACACUGGGUUUCCCAAAGGAGCUUAUGUGUGCAGAAAGGUUCCAACUAGCCCUGAUUCUUCCAAGGUAUCCAUAGGCCGUAAGUGCAUAUCAAAAGGGAUUUUUACAAAUGUCACAGCAUCAUUUGGGGUUGAAGGGACCUCAGGAGGUCUGAUCUCCUCUCAGAGCAACUUCAGGCAGAUUCAAAUCAGCUCAGGUCCUCAUCCAGCCAACCUCUGAACAUCUCCUCUUUCGGGCUGUCCUAGGGCUGCACGAGUUUGCAGGGAAGAGUCCUUGGUGCCAUGCAGCUUUUGGGGCUUCAUCCCAUACAGUGGCACUCAGAAGAUGCCCAUUCCCCCACCGAGAGCUUAUGCUUGGCCCUCUCCAUUUCCUGAGGCUCAGCACACCACAGGAUGUGCUCCUGCGUGACAGCUUGGGCAGCUUGAUGCUUGAGACCUGCUUGCUGCUUUCUGUCUCUCAGCAGAAUUAGUCACUUCUAAACAUAAUGCAUGAGCUUUACACCUCAAGUGGAAAAUAGGUCCUUCUCUCAAGGCUAGAAUGAGUUUCAUUCACUGUGGCUUGGGCGCAAGAAAGCUAUGCACUUCAGGUGAGACACCUUCCACUUUCUUGAUAAUACUACUUAUUGUACUUACCGUGUAUAUAUGACACCACUUGUACUACUUACAGGGGGAGAAGAAUCCAAACACAAAUGACCUCAUGCUGCAGUCAGCCCUGAAGUGAGCUCUGGAGCAUGGUAACCAGCUCAGACUUGAUCAUUCCUCAGUGUUUCAAGGCAGCCAGACCAGUCCUGCUCCUGGGCUGCUGUCAGGCCCAGAGCUCCAGCCAGCAUCUCCAGUCAUCUCCCACUGCCAGCAUCAUUAUGGGAUCUAGAGGUCCUAUCAGGCUCUGCAUCCCGCUGUGCUAGGAGCUGCAUACAGACACACAGCCAAAUCCUGGCCCAAAAAAAGUCUGCCUUAAAAAAAGACAAGACAGAUGGAGGCACAGAUUUAUGGAAAGUCAUACAGCAGGUCAGAAGCAGAAUUGAAAUGAGAGCGCGGGCGAGUAGCAGGCCUAAGAUCCUCAAAUUAAUGUUUUUGCUUUGGCACCAAGAUACCAACCAUACAUCUCAAAUUCCAGCCACCUUGAAAUCCAAGCCCAGAAAGCUGCGAGCCCUGUCUCAGAAAUAGCUGGUACAGAGCCAUAGCACCUGAGAGGAGCUACAAGCCCAAACUGCUGCCUGCUUCUCCCAGCAUGCAUUUCUAUGGUGUCCUCAGUUUUUACUCUCCCAUGAUAAUUUUCUCUGAAGCUUGGCACGAUCUCCAAGUCCCACUGCUUUCCCCGGGCUCUGACUCACACUGACCUUUUCCCAAACCCUACUUCUUUUAGUAAUCAAGACAAGCUACUGUUGCAUCAUUUGUUAUAAGAGCAGAUAAUGUUACCGAUAGAGAUCAUUAAUUAUUACAUCAGCAAUCAUGCUAAAUACGGCUUGUGUUCAUUAUCACAGUGCUGUGUUUAUGUUAAUAUGAUGCUUAUAAACAGCAUUAGUAGUAAUUGCAACAAUAAUGCCACCACAGUUGUGAAGCGUUGAUGUAGCAUCCGUCUGCUCGGAGAUGCACUGUGAUGAAUAACGGCACCGCCAUCUGGCAGCACUGGCUGUGCAUGGCUCACACUGAUCAACAUGGCAAAGCAGGCAGCCAUCUCCAUCCCAGGAGCUCCCACUGGUUCUGGCUUGCCAGCAGCCAUAAAUCACCUCUAAACAGCUCCUGGAGAGGAGGAUGGGAACCCACAGGCAAAAGCUGGGAGCACCGAAAUAGAAAGCAAGACGGCUCCUUACUGCAGCAUGCAAAGAGGCCCAUGGAGGGGAGCCUGCCAAACCACACUGAAUGAGAAGAGAGACAUCACUGCAAAAGUACAGCUCCUUCAGAGCGGCUAUCAUUUUAGUUUCAGUCGCUUUUAACAGCAGCACUUUCAUGGUUUUUGCUUGGAGAGGAGUCCCUCUUUCCCUGGGUCUGUGUGCUAAUGAGGUCCUUGCAAAGCAAACAGUACCCCAGUGGAUGCUAUCACCAAGGCUGUAUUUAAUGCCUUGAAAACACCCCGUGAGCCAGAGGCGUCACCUCCACUGUGCAGCACAACUCUUUUUACCAUGGUCUCUCCAAAGAGGGCAGGAGGAGAAGGGUAAAGGGGAGGUAUCUCUGCCCUCACGAACACCAGGGUUGACUGCAGAUUCUGCACCCCUGCAAAGAAUCCACAUGCCCAAAAUGGAGAAGUGCUGAAUUGGCAGCCAUGUGGUUCCCUACAGGUGCGUGUCCAGUUAUGCCAAGUGCGUGCUGGAAGCAGCUAAACCGGUCAGACACUGGGUCUUGUUGAGCGUUCCCCUUCAUCCAUGGGACCAAAGCAAGAUGCUGAAGACAAAAGAGAGAGCUCUUAGUCCAUGGUCUCCUAUCAAAGGAAAAUCAUUCUUGUCCCACAGGACAAAAGUGCAGCAGCAACAUUAUGGCUAGAGACUUGUGGUCUCAACUGCCACGUCAUGAGCAGGAUUUUCUAAGGUCUUUCUCAGAUCUCCUACUACAGCAAGUCUGAAAUACGUGGCUCUUUAGGGAACGGUGCAUCAAAAGAUGAAUGCUCACUCCUGCAUCUCCUCCUCCCCCCGUUCGUGCUGAAGGAGGCUCUCAUCCACACUUCUGCUCAUGCCACAGCUGUGCAAAGCUGAAGGAAAGUGAGGAGGGGCUUGCAGAGAAGAUUCCUAAAUCUAAACCUAAAAAGGCCUGAUUGCUGGGAAAGGUGCCAGCCCCUGGCAGCUGGAGGCACGCUUCAGCACAAGCUGAGCACCGUUUUUGAUAAUCUUGACCUACAGAGAGCAACGCCAUUGCAAAUCCCAAGCAGAUCCCAAACGAGUUUGUCUCUGCAUCAGGAGCUCUAUGGGAUUUGCCCACAAAGAAAUCUAAAGCAGAACAAUUAAAUUCCAACAUAGACAAUGAGCUUCCUUGGUGAAAACAGCAGGAGUGAGUGCUGAAUAGAAAGCUUACACUUACGAACUUGACAUGACCAAAUCCUUUUGGGUUUUUGAUGACAAAUUUUUGAGGCUUCCACAGGAAUUUCUGUUUUGAGUCAAAAUAAAACAAAAGAUCCUUCCUUUUCUUGCUAGAAGUGGUAUUUCAAGACAAAAGUGUUAAUUCCGAGAUGAAUAUCAUUCAAAUGUUCUCAUCAAAGAAGGCAAAAGAAUCGGAAAAAUGGGCAUUUUUCUCUCAAGAAAAGAACAGUUUUGACCAAACCAUCUUUUUCCAGUGGAGACAUCUUUCCUGUGAAAGUACGUCUCUUUUCAUCAGCCGUGCUGCUAAAUGUGGCACGCUCAGGAAAAGCAGCAAGCUGCAGCAAUGUCCCGCUCCCAGCACACACAAAGGCUCCCCAGCUCAGAUCAGGUGGGAUAAUGACACACCUUAAUGAAAGAACAAAGUUUCCAGUAAACUCUCCUUUUUCACUCCUCCCAGCUCAGUUGCGAGCUCUUCAAAGUUUCUCCUCUCACUGAGUUGAGUCAUUAGUUUUCAGAUAAGUGAUGCUUGAGCCUUUGAUUAAAAUUACUGGGGAGCAUCUCUGCAUGAUUAAAAAGAGAUAACACAAUAAAAGGAAGAGGGCUUUACACCAUUAUUACAGCAAAUAAGUGCAAUUCCCAACCUGAGAGCUGCAUCAACUUGUCUAAUAUAAUAAAUGCUUCCCCUGUUGGAAACGCGUCAAAUUAGACUUCAAGAUGUCAGCCCUCGGUUUUCAAAGGCCUUGAAGCUUUACAGGGCACUGCAUGACUGCAAGCCUAAUAUGAUGGAGAGCAAGGAGGUGACACUGCCCCAUAGAGCAGGGCGCGGAGGGAGCAGUGCUUGUUAGUGCUGAUAGGCACCAGAGCAAUAUCUGCUACGUCAAAAAGGUGCAGACAGACACGCAUGAUGCCAGGAAAAGGAGCCUGGAGAGGGGCCAAGGGGUGGAUGUGGGGUCCAGGGUGGGAGGCUUUGGGCUGCUCCCACCCACUGAUACACCGCCCAAGGCAGAGCCACUGGCUGCAGGCUCCUCGCAGUGAGCACGCAGCAGGGGACACGCCGGAAUAGCUCUUUGUCUAAGCAAGAAAUGUCAUUUCCAGUCGUAUCCAAAUAAAAAUAGCUGUUCUGAGCGAUUAAAAAUAUCAGCCAUUUCCAGUCCAAAGAGAACGUCUGCGCAGGAAGUUAUUUCAGAACUACCCCAUCUGAUUCCCUGAUGCAGACAAGGCACGAGUCUGCUUUCCCAGGGAAGGGAUCCUUACCUCCCCAGGCAUGAUGUGGGGCUCCAACUGUAGGUGUGAAGAUCCUGUGCUGCUGGGAGCUUGUAAAACUGUGGAUGGAUAGCUCACAGAUGCGUCCUAUUCGUAGCUUCAAGUAUACAAGUUUAUCAUGCAAAUGAUAUGUCAACAGAAUAGCUGCACUUGGCAAUAUUUCCCAAAGUAAAUUACGCAGUUAAACAUGCCAUGUGUAAUAUUAAGGAGGUUAUGUGUUACAUGUAAUAAGCAGAUGAAGCCAAGUUGUCAGGAAGCCAGGUUUCCUCAGAAAUGUGAAAUUCAUCUCAGAGGAACCAAGGUGCGUGUGCCUCUUCCCACCCGAGCGCUGGGCACAGCAGGGUUGUGUUAAUGCCAAGGUCCCGCAAGGUGAUGCAGUCUCAGCUGAGACCCUCCAUAGAGGUUUUAUCUGUGUGGCUAUACCCAGCCUGAGCCCCACGGUCAGCAUCUCAGGAGCCGGUGCUUGCACUCUGUAUUUUUAACAGCUUGAGCUCGGUGCAUCUGGGAACCAUUUGCAAGGGUAAAAAUAAUGCAUGAUCCAAUCUCAAGGCUUUUCACUUCCUGAAGGGUGGAAAUACCAGGCAAGGAAAGAAAGAAAGAAAGAAAAAAAAGAAAGAAAGAAAGAAAGAAAGAAAAGCUCUUGGAUUAUUCCAGCUCCACAAAUUGCUCCCCGAGGCGAGUAAAUGUUGUAAAAAAACAUACACAAACAUUCAGAUUCAAGUUUAACCAAACACCGGGACAUUUGGAUUUAUUCAAGUGUCAGCAGCCCCCAAGCUUAGUUAUUUCAGACUCCCUUACAUCAGCAAAUGUUUUUCUGUUCCACAGGAGCUCAAAGUCAAACCUGGGGGCUCCAGUCCCUGAAAGAAUCGAAGGUUCCCCCGCCUGCCUCGUUAAACUCCAGCGUGAAAACCGCUCCAGUGAUUUAUGGAGAAUCAAAGCUAAAGCCCCACUCGUUUGCAGAUGUGAUGUUUGGAUUCGAGGUGUUGUUUCAAAGAAAAGUGAUGGAUCAAAACCUGGAGACGAAGUCCAGCCCAGUCCCCAGCAGCAGCCCUGACCUCUUCUCCAAGACCCCCAUCCUCUGCAGGUCUCCCAACCCAGUCAGCACUUUAUUUUGAAGGGAAGGAGGCUCUUACCUCACCCAUGCUUCAAAUUUCAAGGCCGCCACGAGCCUUGGGCUCAUAUUUUUCACACAUCCUAAAACAUCAUCCCUCCCCCGGCACACACGUGCGCGCAUUCCUUAUGGUCUGCUUCCCCUCAGGGCCCCACAGGCCUGAAGAACGAUAAAAUUUCUGUAAAGUAGGUGUUUGAGGCAUUUUCUAACAGUUCAUGACCCUGCUUAAACCCCUGUGAGGAACUCAGUAGGAUGCUUUGCAUAACUCUGAAGAAGGAUGUUUUGGAGUUAACUGCUUCCAAAACAUCCAAGCGAUGAGAAAUCCAGUGCUACCAGCAGCUCAUUUCCUUUGCUAUUUAAAUACAACACCCUUCUCUGGGCUGGGCUGUCCUGGCCCAGGAUCCAGGCACUGCUGCUCACGCUGCUCCUGUCGUGUCCUGAAGCUCUUGGUCGGACCAUGUCUCCUCCCUGCAGGCGUAAGGAUGCCACCAGCCAGCUAUCACCAACUCUUGGCCAAAUUAAGGAGAUCACACUCCUCGAUUUGCUCUCUGAAAUGUGUGAUUUCCCCUUCAUUAGCCUUCUUCUGGCUCUUCCUUAGUCCUCCCCCCCACCAAUAUUUCCAUAUCCUUUUUCAAGCACUGAGGCAUUGCAUCCUUCCUGUGCAAACUGGCCACAGGCAUUGCUUGGUGGCCUCCAUCUCAACAGAGCAUUUCUGAAUCAUCAGUUACCUACUCCCCAGCCUUCUUAGGGCUAGAAGGGGAUCCCUCACCCAACUUUUGGUUGGCCUGUGUUAUAUGCGAUGAAUGGGCUGACAUUUGACCAUAUAAAAAUACCAUGUUUACUUGACCCAGGGCUGCCAAGCAAGCCUGAGGCUCCACAUCAUUAACUGGGACUCUGCAAGAGUCGCUUUUCUUCCCCUUUCUUUGUGUCAUUUUGAAAAUUUUUCGGUGAGGAUUUGAUGGAUUCUUCUCCUUUUCUUCCCUCAGUCACUGCUGGAGACAUUAAAUGGGAUAGGGUCAGGACCAGCCAUUUAAGGUCUCCUCAAGAAACAAAGCUGUUUGAUAUGAAUUCUCCUUUUAGGACUCUGUUUAAAAAAACUAAUUACAAACCCCAGCCAUUUAAUGUGCACCAUGUUGAUUUUGGAUGGCUCCUCUUUAUCCGUGACAGCAGCCUAUGAUACAAAGCCAAGCACUUUUUAGACGUUUGACCAGUUUAGGAAUACGUGUAAGGCCAGUGACAGCUGGCCUCCAGGAGACAGAUGGGCUCUGAGGGCAGGAAGGAUUAUUGCGACCAGGAAUCCGACCUCCCGAGUGACGCGGGCUAUAAAAUGUCAUCCAUUAGGCUCCCUUGGAAAUCCCAACGAUAAAUCUUUCUGGUCCAAUCCUUUCCCUCCACGGCUCCCCUGGGAGAAGCGAGGUUGCUCAGAGUGCCCAGUAGGAUGCUGGUGGGGCUGGUCUGGCUCUGUUCGUAUUCAGAUCUCUCCUACUGGUGCAGCAGGCUUCCAAAAGCAUUCAUAGUUUCCAUGUUGCUAAUUUUAGGGCUUUGCUUUCCAGCACCCACAGACUUGGAGACACAGCCUGCUGUCUCGCUGCAGCUUACAUGUUUCCUAAUGGUCCCAACCCAGAGAUUUACACUCAGCCAACUCACUUUGAAACCCUUCCAUAAAAACGCCUUCUGCAAACAGAUUUGUUUCAUUAUCGUUGGGCCCGAAAGUGCCUGAAGUAACAAACAACUUCAAACUCCUUCAAAUUUAUCCUGGCACCGGGUUUGCACUUCAUUUAGAUGCUGUGUACCUGGGUGCAUGCCCUGUGGGGGACAGGCAGGAGAGGGACGGAUGGAGCUCUGUGCAAUGUAUCAGUGAUUAUGGUGCAAUAAAUAUUGGAUGGAGGAUCUAUGAUAACAUCUA
Numida meleagris (helmeted guineafowl) is the source of this 25427-nucleotide long non-coding RNA. RefSeq lists it as uncharacterized. The transcript is spliced from 10 exons. The record is from RefSeq and is a predicted model, not a curated record. Lineage: Eukaryota; Metazoa; Chordata; Aves; Galliformes; Numididae.